RNAcentral lists this ribosomal RNA (2950 nucleotides) under uncultured bacterium W5-77b. RNAcentral's name for it is "bacterial LSU rRNA". It matches the Rfam family "Bacterial large subunit ribosomal RNA". The record is from RNAcentral.
UCAAGCUAUUAAGGGCUGUUGGUGGAUGCCUUGGCAUUAACAGGCGAUGAAGGACGUGUUACCUGCGAUAAGCUUCGGGGAGUCGGAAUAAGGCUUUGAUCCGGAGAUUUCCGAAUGGGGAAACCCGAUGGGAAUAAUACCUCAUCAUCUGUAGCUGAAUACAUAGGCUACAGAAGCAAUACUUACCGAACUGAGACAUCUCAUUAGGUGGAGGAAAAAAAAUCAAACGAGAUUCCCGUAGUAGCGGCGAGCGAAAUGGGAAUAGCCCAAACCGAAGGCUUUCGUGCCUUCGGGGUUGUAGGACCAAUCAAAUGUGUAACAAACUCUAGCUAAACAUUUCUGGAAAGUUAGGCGAAACAGGGUGAUAGCCCCGUAAGCGAAAGAGUGAGUUAACAGGAUUGGCACCUGAGUAGGGCCGGACACGUGAAACCCGGUCUGAAUCUGGGGGGACCACCCUCCAAGGCUAAAUACUAGUUAAUGACCGAUAGCGAACAAGUACCGUGAGGGAAAGGUGAAAAGAACCCCUGUUAGGGGAGUGAAAUAGAAUCUGAAACCAACAGCUUACAAGCGGUCAGAGGCCUAUGCCCUUUUUAAGGGAAUGGCUGAUGGCGUGCCUUUUGCAUGAUGAGCCAGCGAGUUACGUUAUAGGGCAAGGUUAAGGGACAUACGUUCCGCAGCCGAAGCGAAAGCGAGUGUGAAUAGCGCGUACAGUCUUAUGACGUAGACACGAAACCAAGUGAUCUAUCCAUGACCAGGUUGAAGCAAGGGUAAAACCUUGUGGAGGACCGAACCAGUAUACGUUGAAAAGUGUUUGGAUGAGUUGUGGAUAGGGGUGAAAGGCCAAUCAAACUUGGAGAUAUCUUGUUCUCUCCGAAAUAACUUUCGGGUUAGCCUCGGAAUAGACUUUUUUAGGGGUAGAGCACUGGAUCCCGGCGGGGACUUCACCGUCUACCAAUGGGAACCAAACUCCGAAUACUAAAAAAGAUGCCGGGAGAUAGACAGUGGGGGAUAAGCUUCAUUGUCGAGAGGGGAACAGCCCAGACCGUCGAUUAAGGUCCCAAAUUCUAUGCUAAGUGAGUAAGGAAGUGAAGUUUCUAAAACAGUUGGUAUGUUGGCUUAGAGGCAGCCAUCAUUUAAAGAGUGCGUAACAGCUCACCAAUCGAGAAACUUUGCGCCGAUAAUAUCCGGGACUAAGUAUAGAGCCGAAAUCACGGGUGUAGACUACUUUGGUAGUCUACGCGGUAGGAGAGCGUAGUAUGUGCAUCGAAGGUAUACCGUGAGGAGUACUGGAGCGCAUACUAGUGAAAAUGCAUGGCAUGAGUACACGAUAAAGGAGGUGAGAAUCCUCCUCGCCGAAAACCUAAGGUUUCCAAGAGUAAAGCUCGUCUUCUCUGGGUUAGCCGGUCCCUAAGUCGAGGUCGAAAGGCGUAGACGAUGGAAAACAGGUUAAAUAUUCCUGUGCCACCUAAAGCUAUGGUGAUGGAAUGACGAAGUACAUUAAGCACGCGGACGAUUGGUAGUGUCCGUAGGGUUAUGAGGAAGGCUGAUAGUUAAAUGCGUCAGCGUAAUUCCAGGUAAUUCUCAAGGGGAAUCUUCGGAGGAACCGAUGGUGUAGCGUAAUGCUUCCAAGAAAUAAUUUCUAACCGCUGAUGGUGACCGUACCAAAACCGACACAGGUAGGUAGGAUGAAUAUUCUAAGGCGCGCGAGAGAACUCUGGUUAAGGAACUCGGCAAAUUAUCCCCGUAACUUCGGGAGAAGGGGAGCCACAGGGUGUGAUUAUCCUUGCGAUAUGAGCAUCAGGUGGCCGCAGAGAAAUGGCCCAGGCGACUGUUUAUCAAAAACACAGCACUAUGCGAAGUCGUUUAAGACAAUGUAUAUGGUGUGAUGCCUGCCCAAUGCCAAAAGGUCACAUGGAGAUGUUAGAACCUCGGUUCGAAGCAUUGAAAUUAAGCCCUGGUGAAUGGCGGCCGUAACUAUAACGGUCCUAAGGUAGCGAAAUUCCUUGUCGGGUAAGUUCCGACCUGCACGAAUGGCAUAACGAUCUGGGCGCUGUCUCAACCAGAGACUCGGUGAAAUUGUAGUAGCGGUGAAGAUGCCGUUUACCCGCAACAAGACGGAAAGACCCCGUGAACCUUUACUGUACUCUGAUAUUGGCUUCUGACUUGUCAAAUGUAGGAUAGCCGGGAGACAUUGAAAGCUACUCGUCAGGGUAGCUGGAGUCAUCCUUGAAAUACCGGUUUUGGCAAGUUGGAAAUCUAACGUAAUCCCGUGAAUCCGGGAUACGAACAGUGUCAGACGGGCAGUUUUACUGGGGCGGUAUCCUCCUAAAGAGUAACGGAGGAGUUCAAAGUUAGCCUCAUCGUGGUUGGCAAUCACGAGACGAGCGUAAAGGUAUAAGGCUGAUUGACUGCGAGACUUGCAAGUCGAGCAGAUACGAAAGUAGGACUUAGUGAUCCGGCGGUGGAAAGUGGAAUCGCCGUCGCUUAACGGAUAAAAGGUACUCCGGGGAUAACAGGCUUAUCGCCACCAAGAGUUCAUAUCGACGUGGCGGUUUGGCACCUCGAUGUCGGCUCAUCGCAUCCUGGGGCUGAAGAAGGUCCCAAGGGUUUGGCUGUUCGCCAAUUAAAGCGGUACGCGAGCUGGGUUCAAAACGUCGUGAGACAGUUUGGUCCCUAUCUGUUGUGGGCGUAGGAUACUUGAGAGGAGCUGCUUCUAGUACGAGAGGACCGAAGUGGACAAACCAAUGGUGUUUCGGUUGUUCUGCCAAGGGCAUUGCCGAGUAGCUAUGUUUGGAAAGGAUAAGCGUUGAAAGCAUCUAAACGCCAAGCCUCCCUCAAGAUAAGGUAUCCCAAUGAGACCCCAUGUAGACUACGUGGUAGAUAGGUUGGGUGUGUAAGCACAGCAAUGUGUUGAGCUAACCAAUACUAAUAGGUCCAUUGGCUUGAUCAU